Molecule: ribosomal RNA, 253 nt
Filed under: uncultured bacterium
Lineage: Bacteria
Description: partial 16S ribosomal RNA
Rfam family: Bacterial small subunit ribosomal RNA
Source: RNAcentral
AACGUAGGAGACAAACGUUAUCCGGAGUUACUGGGCGUAAAGGGCGUGUAGGUGGUAGUGUAAGUCUGGCGUGAAAUUUUUCGGCUUAACCGGGAAGGGUCGUCGGAUACUGCACAACUAGAGGACGGUAGAGGCGUGUGGAAUUCCGGGUGUAGUGGUGAAAUGCGUAGAGAUCCGGAGGAACACCAGUGGCGAAGGCGACACGCUGGGCCGUACCUGACACUGAUGCGCGACAGCAUGGGGAGCAAACAGG